RNAcentral lists this ribosomal RNA (500 nucleotides) under uncultured bacterium. Its description in RNAcentral is "partial 16S ribosomal RNA". It matches the Rfam family "Bacterial small subunit ribosomal RNA", at positions 30 to 523 of the family's 1533-position model. The record is from RNAcentral.
AUUGAACGCUGGCGGAAUGCUUUACACAUGCAAGUCGAACGGCAGCACGGACUUCGGUCUGGUGGCGAGUGGCGAACGGGUGAGUAAUGUAUCGGAACGUGCCCAGUCGUGGGGGAUAACGUAGUGAAAAUUACGCUAAUACCGCAUACGAUCUAUGGAUGAAAGCGGGGGAUCGCAAGACCUCGCGCGAUUGGAGCGGCCGAUAUCAGAUUAGGUAGUUGGUGGGGUAAGGGCCCACCAAGCCAACGAUCUGUAGCUGGUCUGAGAGGACGACCAGCCACACUGGAACUGAGACACGGUCCAGACGCCUACGGGAGGCAGCAGUGGGGAAUUUUGGACAAUGGGCGAAAGCCUGAUCCAGCCAUUCCGCGUGCAGGAUGAAGGCCCUCGGGUUGUAAACUGCUUUUGUACAGAACGAAAAGGUUUCUACUAAUACUAGGAGCUCAUGACGGUACUGUAAGAAUAAGCACCGGCUAGCUACGUGCCAGCCGCCACAGUAA